CCUACGGGAGGCAGCAGUGGGGAAUAUUGGACAAUGGGCGGAAGCCUGAUCCAGCAACGCCGCGUGAGGGAUGACGGCCUUCGGGUUGUAAACCUCUUUCAGCACAGACGAAGCGAAAGUGACGGUAUGUGCAGAAGAAGGACCGGCCAACUACGUGCCAGCAGCCGCGGUAAU
RNAcentral lists this ribosomal RNA (174 nucleotides) under uncultured Nocardioides sp. RNAcentral describes it as "partial 16S ribosomal RNA". It matches the Rfam family "Bacterial small subunit ribosomal RNA", at positions 338 to 524 of the family's 1533-position model. Lineage: Bacteria; Bacillati; Actinomycetota; Actinomycetes; Propionibacteriales; Nocardioidaceae. The record is from RNAcentral.